GUGGGUGUAGCUCAGUUGGCAGAGCAUUGGAUUGUGGAUCCAAGGGUCGUGGGUUCAAGCCCCAUCAUCCACC
RNAcentral lists this transfer RNA (73 nucleotides) under Myxococcales bacterium. Its description in RNAcentral is "tRNA-His". It matches the Rfam family "tRNA". Rfam says of the family: Transfer RNA (tRNA) molecules are approximately 80 nucleotides in length. Their secondary structure includes four short double-helical elements and three loops (D, anti-codon, and T loops). The record is from RNAcentral. Lineage: Bacteria; Pseudomonadati; Myxococcota; Myxococcia; Myxococcales.